RNAcentral lists this ribosomal RNA (253 nucleotides) under uncultured bacterium. Its description in RNAcentral is "partial 16S ribosomal RNA". It matches the Rfam family "Bacterial small subunit ribosomal RNA", at positions 524 to 776 of the family's 1533-position model. The record is from RNAcentral.
AACGUAGGAGCCAAGCGUUAUCCGAAUUCACUGGGCGUAAAGCGCGUGCAGGCGGCUGGGUAAGUUGGAUGUGAAAUCUCCUGGCUCAACUGGGAGAGGCCGUUCAAUACUACCUGGCUUGAGGGCGACAGAGGGAGGUGGAAUUCCUGGUGUAGCAGUGAAAUGCGUAGAUAUCAGGAGGAAUACCGAUGGCGAAGGCAGGUCUCUGGGCUGACACUGACGCUCAUGCACGAAAGCGUGGGGAGCAAACAGG